CUGCUCUCUCGGGCGCGGCAGCCGCCGCCUUGGGCGGGCUCUGCUGAGGCAGUCGGGCGGGCGGGAACGGGGUCGCUCCCCCCGCGUUGGGGGUGCUGCGGCGUUGCCGCUGGCGAAGCGGCGUACCGAGGACCGCGGGCAGGAGGAGGGUCGCUGCGCAGAGAGCUAUGUCCCCAAAGUUGUCACCAUCAACAACAGCUACUUGCCAGCAAAGCAACUGAAGGCUGUGGAAGAACUCGUUUCCCUUUCUUGCCAGAGGCCAGGCGCCCAAAUGGGGUCUCUGAACAAAAUGAAUUUCAUUACAAGGCUUUCUGCUUUAUGUCUGAGGAAAAGCAAGAUGCAGCAGAGGCACCAAAGUAGUAGACGACCAGCUGUUCCACUUGGAUCACGGAUUUUAACUGAUCCUUCUAAGGUUUUUGAGCAUAACAUGUGGGACCACAUGCAGUGGUCACAAGAAGAAGAGGAGAAUGCCAAGGAAAAAGUAGCAGAGAACUCACUUGUGAAAGUCCAAUGGGAAGACCAAGAUAAAUAUGAGAGAGAAGCCAGUAAAUAUUGGAAUGAAUUUUACAAGACUCAUAAAAAUAACUUUUUCAAGGAUCGCAAUUGGCUGUUUCUGGAGUUCCCAGAAAUUCUUCCAGAAAAAAGGCGAGAAGAGUUGAAAACAGAACAAAGAUCUUCAGAACACACAAAAAUAAACAGUACCAACAGUUUUUCACACAAAAAUGAAAUGUCUGAGGAAGGAGAAAAAUAUUGGAAGAAAAAUUAUGGAGGUGGUUCUACUUCUGUACAAGGAUAUGUAUAUAAUAAAAAACAAGCAAAAUCUCUUACUGACAAUCCUCAGGGUAAAAACUGUGGAGAAGAACUUGGCAGGCUAGAAUCCUUCCCUGGUAGUGAUGCCACUUACAGAAUAUUAGAGGUUGGUUGUGGUGCUGGAAACAGUGUCUUUCCUAUUUUGAAAGUUCUAUGCAAUACACCUGGAACCUUUCUAUACUGUUGUGAUUUUGCUUCAGGAGCAGUGGAGCUGGUAAAGUCACAUUCAUCCUACAAUUCAGCCUGGUGUUCUGCCUUUGUUCAUGAUGUGUGUGAUGAUGCUUUACCCUAUCCUUUUCCAGAUGAGAUCCUGGAUGUCAUUCUCCUUGUCUUUGUGCUCUCUACUAUUCAUCCUGACAGGUAAAUGAAGACUAAAGGGCAAAGCAAAUGGGUUAAAUCUCUUUUAUCGCUGGAGGUUUUCAAGAACAGCAAGCAAAAGAAGAUGAUGAAUCUUUAAUUUAUUAUUUAGUAAGCUACAAUAUAUAUAUAAAACGAUGUAUUUUAAAUGCUGUUUCCCGUUUUCAGGCUUCAAGAGAAAAGCUGGUCAGGCUAAUUCAUUAGUGAGUCUCCUGUCUCCAUCAAAAUACAAGGGGUAUAUUGUAACUAAAUACAUCCCUAUUAAAAGUGACAGUGAUUCUAGAAAAUUAGAAAUUAAAAAAAGAGACUGCUAGUCUUCUAGAAGGAAAUUAUUUUUAGUGAUCAAAACCAAACAUUCAUGAUUUAACACCUUACAAUAUGUUGAUAAAGGCUUAGGUUGCUGAUUUAGCCACACGCAAAUGCUUACACGCAGGUCCUUUGAACCAAAAUGCAUUCAGAAUUCUAUAACUUGUUUGGAUUAAGAAAACUUGAUCUAAUUUUCAUGCAUAGUGUUAUGUUGAAUGCUGUUAGCCUUGUUACUAAUGCCUCUCAAUGUCUAAUGAACCAAACUUUAUGACUGUUAAGGUUGGCUGAUUGUGAAAAUGCCCUUUUUUUAAUGGGAAAAAUGCAAAAGAGGGCAUGUAAGUUAAAACUCCUUGACUUUUCCUUUAACUAGAUCACAUGAAGGGAAAUACAUGCUGUAUGUGUGGUAAUACAUUUAUUACUUUAAGAAUGUCAUUAAAAUGGGCUUGGCAAACAGAACAGUAUUUGCCUAAGUCUGAGAACUGUUUCCCUGCCUAAGUUAUUAAUGAUUAGCUUUACAGAAAAAUCUUUCCCAUAUAGGAUAUUACUCUUUCCUGUUUGUUCAGAGAUGAGCACAUGAGUCAUGCAAAGCCUGGGUCCAGAUUUCAAAAACAAUUCAAGCACUAGAUUUCAGAUCUCUGUAACAGUGGUGAUGCUGCCAUGAAGAAAUUGGACAAUAGAGAUGCAUUCAUUCAAUCGCUUUGCCUGUAGAAGCAGUAAUCAGAUGUUGUGUCAGAAUUUCUGUGGAUCUUUUCCUAUUAGACUUUUCAGAAUGUGGGGGGUGGGGGUUUGGGGUUUUUUUUUUUUUCCUCCCCAUGUCAGCAUCUAAAGGCUGACAUGUAUGCUUGUGUGUGUGUGUGUGUGUGUGUGUGUGUGUGUGUAUACACACAUAAAGAUUUCCAUGUAAUUAUCAGUGUUGUAAGACCCACUUUCCAAAGAUUUGUUAGUCAUUACUGUCAUCUCGUAGAAUUAAAAUGACUGCAUAAAGGCAAAUGUAAUCCAGAUUCAUCUUGCUCAGUAUGCAUUUUUUCUGGAAACUCUGAAAGUGGGAAAUGGAAAAGAAAACUAAGAGAGUGAUGAUGCAGAACUUACGUACUGUGGAGACCUGGAAAAUAUACAUGAGAGGGACAGAUUUGUAUUCAGCACAAUUGUUCCUUAGUGAUUUCUCUUCAGGCUGUUGUGUUUAGUUUUUGAUAAUUGCUACUUUUGUACACCAUUUUUAACACACUUCAAUUCUGCUAGAAGACCCCUCUAAAAGUUGGUUGCAGAAUUUGAAAGGUAUUAAAUUUUCUUCAAGCUAUAUAAUUGAUGUGCUCUAGUCCUACGGGAUGUGACUUCUCAAAGCACUUUCACUUUUUGUUUAUGUAAACUUCUUUUCCAUGUGCACAAAACUUAUGUUUAUAUAGGCAAAGGCUAAUUCUGUGCACAAUUACCUGCCUUGGAACAGUCUUUUAUUCUUAGGUGGUGCUGCCUUUUCUGUCUGUGGCAGCAUACUUCGUUGCCUGUGUUGACCAUGAGCAAAGAGGACAACUUUUAAAGCACUUGGCUUCCUCUAAGGGAAUUCCAUGCCUAAAAAGUGUAUGCUGCUUUUUGUUCUUGUUUGUUCGUUCAUUUGUUUGUUUGGAGAUAUGAUUUUAUUUUCUGCUGAACUACCUCCUAAUUCUGUCCCUUAAAAAUUAAGGUAAGAUGCCUGCACUGCUGUUGCAUAAAGACUAAAUUGCAUUAGUGCUUGAGUUCUGACAUUCUUGGGGCAAAGGGGCAAGGCCACCUGAGAGACAGACAUGGUGUAAGGAUGUUCUCUUGACACACAGUAAUGGUAUGCUGAUUUUGUAUACUUAAGUAGAACUUACUCUUCUUUAGCUCUUUUCAGAUACAGCACCCUGCCUUUCCUUUCCAUUCAUUUUGCAUUUGACUCUGGCUUCACAUAUUCUACAUGGUCUAUCAGCUUCCCUGUGGGAGGAAAGGUUGAAUUAGGCAAGUGGACUUUUGUACUUUGCAGCCUGUCAGGUGCAGACUGCCUUUUGUGGUCUUUCAUGAAUGUGGAAAACCUGACUCCUUUGGUUUAUUCUGAAAGAGUGAGGCAAACCCAAGCCAUUAUUCAUUAGCAAUGUAUUUUGCAGAGUAAUGCAAAUGUAUUUAUAAGAAGCUCCAAGGUAAGGUUAAAAAGUGAGAAUGAAGAUGCUCUGGUCUAGUGAAGGGGAGAGAGUACUGUGUAUGGUACUUGUUCCUAUCAUACAUACAGCAGGCUGAUGUAAUCUUGAUAAGGAAGAGGUGAUGUUACGUACCACCAAGAUUCACAAACUUGUCAGCAUUUUGGAGGAUGCAGACCUUCCUCCUCAAACUAGCAAUAUCUCCAGAUGGAGUUCUGCCAGAUUUCUCUCCUGAGGGACUACUCAGAUUCUUCUUUCCAUCCUCAACCAUUAGGUGUGGAGAUACUGAUUUUGUGUGUAUGAUCAGUACCCCCAUAAAGAAAUCAGGAUGCAAGGGGUUGUAAAUAGGUUGGCUAAACUACUGAAACCUGGAGGAAUGUUGUUAUUUCGAGACUAUGGAAGAUACGAUAC
Molecule: RNA transcript, 4031 nt
Organism: Aquila chrysaetos chrysaetos
Lineage: Eukaryota; Metazoa; Chordata; Aves; Accipitriformes; Accipitridae
Gene: METTL8
Gene name: methyltransferase like 8
Exons: 9
Source: RefSeq, a predicted model, not a curated record